GACGAACGCUGGCGGCGUGCUUAACACAUGCAAGUCGAACGGAAAGGCCCUGCUUUUGUGGGGUGCUCGAGUGGCGAACGGGUGAGUAACACGUGAGUAACCUGCCCUUGACUUUGGGAUAACUUCAGGAAACUGGGGCUAAUACCGGAUAGGAGCUCCUGCUGCAUGGUGGGGGUUGGAAAGUUUCGGCGGUUGGGGAUGGACUCGCGGCUUAUCAGCUUGUUGGUGGGGUAGUGGCUUACCAAGGCUUUGACGGGUAGCCGGCCUGAGAGGGUGACCGGCCACAUUGGGCCUGAGAGACGGCCCAGAAUCCUACGGGAGGCAGCAGUGGGGAAUAUUGCACAAUGGGCGGAAGCCUGAUGCAGCAACGCCGCGUGCGGGAUGACGGCCUUCGGGUUGUAAACCGCUUUCGCCUGUGACGAAGCGUGAGUGACGGUAAUGGGUAAAGAAGCACCGGCUAACUACGUG
RNAcentral lists this ribosomal RNA (468 nucleotides) under uncultured bacterium. RNAcentral describes it as "partial 16S ribosomal RNA". It matches the Rfam family "Bacterial small subunit ribosomal RNA", at positions 28 to 507 of the family's 1533-position model. The record is from RNAcentral.